GACGAACGCUGGCGGCGUGCUUAACACAUGCCAGUCGAACGGAAAGGCCCUGCUUGCAGGGUGCUCGAGUGGCGAACGGGUGAGUAACACGUGGGUGAUCUGCCCCUUACUUUGGGAUAAGCCUGGGAAACUGGGUCUAAUACUGGAUAGGACCAUGCUGUAGGUGGUGUGGUGGAAAGAUUAGUUUCGGUAAGGGAUGAGCUCGCGGCCUAUCAGCUUGUUGGUGGGGUAAUGGCCUACCAAGGCGUCGACGGGUAGCCGGCCUGAGAGGGUGGACGGCCACAUUGGGACUGAGAUACGGCCCAGACUCCUACGGGAGGCAGCAGUGGGGAAUAUUGCACAAUGGGCGCAAGCCUGAUGCAGCGACGCCGCGUGGGGGAUGACGGCCUUCGGGUUGUAAACUCCUUUCAGCCAUGACGAAGCCUUCGGGUGACGGUAGUGGUAGAAGAAGCACCGGCUAACUACGUG
This 468-nucleotide ribosomal RNA is filed under the name uncultured bacterium. RNAcentral's name for it is "partial 16S ribosomal RNA". It matches the Rfam family "Bacterial small subunit ribosomal RNA", at positions 28 to 507 of the family's 1533-position model. The record is from RNAcentral.